This 816-nucleotide ribosomal RNA is filed under the name Yarrowia sp. RNAcentral describes it as "LSU rRNA". It matches the Rfam family "Eukaryotic large subunit ribosomal RNA", at positions 39 to 962 of the family's 3401-position model. Lineage: Eukaryota; Fungi; Ascomycota; Dipodascomycetes; Dipodascales. The record is from RNAcentral.
CAUAUCAAUAAGCGGAGGAAAAGAAACCAACAGGGAUUGCCUCAGUAACGGCGAGUGAAGCGGCAAAAGCUCAAAUUUGAAACCUUCGGGAUUGUAAUUUGAAGAUUUGGCAUUGGAGAAAGCUAACCCAAGUUACUUGGAAUAGUACGUCAUAGAGGGUGACAACCCCGUCUGGCUAACCGUUCUCCAUGUAUUGCCUUAUCAAAGAGUCGAGUUGUUUGGGAAUGCAGCUCAAAGUGGGUGGUAAACUCCAUCUAAAGCUAAAUACUGGUGAGAGACCGAUAGCGAACAAGUACUGUGAAGGAAAGGUGAAAAGAACUUUGAAAAGAGAGUGAAAUAGUAUGUGAAAUUGUUGAUAGGGAAGGAAAUGAGCGGAGAGUGGUCGAGGUUUCAGCCAUCCCUUGGGAUGGUGUAUUGCCGACGCCGAGUCAUCGCUAGCGAGACGGGGGUUAUAAACGGGUUGCAUUCAUGCUUCUCACCUAGCCCCCCUACUGCCACCGACGACAUAAUCCGCCCAUUUCACCCGUCUUGAAACACGGACCAAGGAGUCUAAUGGAUAUGUGAGUGUUAGGGUGCCAAACCCCAGCGCGCAAUGAAAGUGAAUGAUUCGUUCAGAAUCGACCGAACUUGAUUUUUAUGACAGUUUUGAGUAAACACAUCCAUUGGGACCCGAAAGAUGGUGAACUAUGCCUGAAUAGGGUGAAGUCAGAGGAAACUCUGAUGGAGGCUCGUAGCGGUUCUGACGUGCAAAUCGAUCGUAGAAUUUGGGUAUAGGGGCGAAAGACUAAUCGAACCAUCUAGUAGCUGGUUCCUGCC